Molecule: unclassified non-coding RNA, 462 nt
Filed under: Hevea brasiliensis (rubber tree)
Lineage: Eukaryota; Viridiplantae; Streptophyta; Magnoliopsida; Malpighiales; Euphorbiaceae
Source: RNAcentral
UAUGAAACAUGGACAGUCAAUGAUGCUUGAGCUAAGCUGCCAAUCUGAGUCUGUGCAAAAUAUAUUGCUGCUAAUAACUAAGGCUGAUCAUAAUCCCCUUUAUGAGGUAGAAGUACCAGGAUUAUACUUAUUUUUACAUACUGUUAAAUAAAUAUUAUCUUAAAUAAAAGAAAAAAGGCCCAUUUUGGCCUUGAAAGCAUUACCCAAUAGUCGUUUUGGCCCCUGAAUUAAAUUUGCAGUCAAAUCGACUCUUUAUUGUUUUUAAAAUGGCCAUAUCCAACCAAAUGCCACAAAAAGGACUAUUUUGGCCAAAAAAGAGGGUCAGGUGUGCACAUGAACUUAAAUGGCUGUCACCCUCUCAACUGUUCUUUAUUCUUCUUUGUUUGCCAAAGAAAGAGAGGAAGGAUGGGAUAGAAAUUGCAAGGCUGGGCGGGAGAGAGAUCUUGAGUGGAAUAGGAGAUU